This 497-nucleotide ribosomal RNA is filed under the name uncultured bacterium. Its description in RNAcentral is "partial 16S ribosomal RNA". It matches the Rfam family "Bacterial small subunit ribosomal RNA", at positions 28 to 507 of the family's 1533-position model. The record is from RNAcentral.
GAUGAACGCUGGCGGCGUGCCUAAUACAUGCAAGUCGAGCGAACAGACGAGGAGCUUGCUCCUCUGACGUUAGCGGCGGACGGGUGAGUAACACGUGGAUAACCUACCUAUAAGACUGGGAUAACUUCGGGAAACCGGAGCUAAUACCGGAUAAUAUAUUGAACCGCAUGGUUCAAUAGUGAAAGACGGUUUUGCUGUCACUUAUAGAUGGAUCCGCGCCGCAUUAGCUAGUUGGGAAGGUAACGGCUUACCAAGGCAACGAUGCGUAGCCGACCUGGGAGAGGGGGAGCCCGCACGAGAGCGUGACCGGGCACAAGGCUCCUGAGGGAGGCACCAGAAGGCAAUGGUAGGCAGUAGCGGGAAGCAUGGCGGAACGGGCCGGAGUGAGAGGUAGAGUUCUCGGGUGCGAAAAGCUGUUUUAUGGGGGAAAAACAACUUUGAAAAUAAAUAAACCGUACGUGACGGUACCUAAUGAAAAAGCCACGGCUAACUACGUG